UGGGGAAUUUUGGACAAUGGGCGCAAGCCUGAUCCAGCAAUGCCGCGUGCAGGAUGAAGGCCUUCGGGUUGUAAACUGCUUUUGUACGGAGCGAAAAGGCUUUAACUAAUACUUAGGGCUAAUGACGGUACCGUAAGAAUAAGCACCGGCUAACUAGUGUCUGAACGGAAACUCAAUUUAUAACUAUGAAUCAACGGUUUAUGUAUGGUUUUUGAAAACGAAGAUUUUGCCGAAUUACUGGGCGUAAAGCGUGCGCAGGCGGUUUUGUAAGACAGAUGUGAAAUCCCCGGGCUCAACCUGGGACCUGCAUUUGUGACUGCAAAGCUAGAGUACGGCAGAGGGGGAUGGAAUUCCGCGUGUAGCAGUGAAAUGCGUAGAUAUGCGGAGGAACACCGAUGGCGAAGGCAAUCCCCUGGGCCUGUACUGACGCUCAUGCACGAAAGCGUGGGGAGCAAACAGG
RNAcentral lists this ribosomal RNA (460 nucleotides) under uncultured bacterium. RNAcentral describes it as "bacterial SSU rRNA". It matches the Rfam family "Bacterial small subunit ribosomal RNA", at positions 355 to 776 of the family's 1533-position model. The record is from RNAcentral.